CGAGUGCGCGCAAGAGGAAACGCUCGUGAACGCGCACACGCUCUAGACCAGCAUGCAGUUGUUUCAUGGUGUCUCGCUUCUUUAGCUUGAACGUUCUCUCUGUCUUUCAUGAUUUCUGGUAUGAUCCGAAGUUUAACUCAGUUUAUACGUUUAUAGUUUAACACGACAGAUCGUCGUCUUCGCGCUUUUCAGCUGAAAGUAGCUUAUCCUCGACUAAAACACUCAAGCAGAGGUAUCCGUCUCAACACCAUUAUGGUUUUCACCAUGGCUAACACCACACCCACUGCAACAGGCGUUGUACCAACAAAUGCAGCUCCACAGCAAACAGACUCAACCGUCAUAGGAGUGGUCAUUGCACUUGUGCUGGUGACACUUGCCAUCUGUGGGUUCUUGUUGUACCGAUAUCUGUGCCACAACAAGGGAGUUUACCGAACUGUAGGUGAGCCUGCUGCAGGAGUGGACCCAGAUCAGGUCUACAAUGACACCGUCACUGAAAACAAGAAGGAAUACUUCAUUUGAACUGCUUAACAUGGAAGGAUUCCAACAAAGAUGGACUGCUGCAGACAUCUUAAUAGUCUAUGUGGAGAGGCUUAUAUGCAUGGCAUAUGGGACAGUGCAUCAGCACAACCACUUGUCUGCGCUGUAUGGAAGACAUUUUUAGUUAAAGGGAUACAGUUUGAGUUUUAUAUGGUGCUGUUACAUUAGGAGGAGGAGCCACAAGCCAAAGGAGUUGUUUACUCAUGACAUCAAUAAGCGUAAAAUGGUUGUGGUUCCGCUUUAAUUCUGGUAUGAUAAAGUUACUGACAGUUACUGUGACAAUCAUUAUGAUGAUACUCUGUCAAAUUGUUCCGCCUACAGGUAUAUGUAGUCUAUAGUCCAUUAAAAUAAACGAUAUAUUUGCUGCUUUAGCAUAAAUGCCAGGAACGUUAAAGGAGAAUGUGAGAUUCUAUACGAUCAAAGGCAGCAUAAUGUUUAAAUGAGUUUUCAAGGAAUUAUUUAUUAUUUCCUUGAAUGAGUUCAGCUAAGUGGCACUGCACCAAAUCAAAAGCCAAACAUUGCAGGCACUCUACCAAUUUGGUUUUAUAUUAGAUUCUUAUUCGAUAUUUGGAGUCAUAAGACUUGUACUACAGAGUUCAUUUGUGGCUCUUAAAAGUGUUAUCCUCCUUUGCCUUGGACCAGCUAGUCUUUAUAUUGUUUAGUUUUUUUAAUCGAUAGCAGCAUUUCCUUUUUUGUGAAUUGUUGGAGAGUCCACUUUUACAGUGCCUUGCAAAACAUUUGAAUACAUUUUACAACGCUUUUAAAAUUGUAAUUGGAAAUUCACACUUUUUUUAAUAUCAUUUAGAAAAGUUUUGUUACAAACGAAUGCAAUAAUGUGCCAAAUGUCAAUAUUACCUUGGUCAUCAUUGUAAAUCAGAUACGCUCAGAUCACGGUACGUCAAAUACAGAUAUGAUACUG
Long non-coding RNA from Myxocyprinus asiaticus (Chinese sucker), 1456 nucleotides. RefSeq lists it as uncharacterized. NCBI's taxonomy places the organism in Eukaryota, Metazoa, Chordata, Actinopteri, Cypriniformes, Catostomidae. The transcript has 4 exons. The record is from RefSeq and is a predicted model, not a curated record.